UUGGAGGGCAAGUCUGGUGCCAGCAGCCGCGGUAAUUCCAGCUCCAAUAGCGCAUAUUAAAGUUGUUGCAGUUAAAAAGCUCGUAGUUGAAUUUCGGGAUUAGUACGUCGGUCGUGCCUUAGGUACGUACUGGUGUUACUGGUUCCUACCUUCUGACGAACCAUCAUGUCAUUAAUUUGGUGUGGUGGGGAAUCAGGACUGUUACUUUGAAAAAAUUAGAGUGUUUAAAGCAGGCUCGCGCUUGAAUACAUUAGCAUGGAAUAAUGAAAUAGGACGUUGAUCCUAUUUUGUUGGUUUCUAGGAUUGACGUAAUGAUUAAUAGGGAUAGUUGGGGGCAUUAGUAUUCAAUUGUCAGAGGUGAAAUUCUUGGAUUUAUUGAAGACUAACUACUGCGAAAGCAUUUGCCAAGGAUGUUUUCAUUAAUCAAGAACGAAAGUUAGGGGAUCGAAGACGAUCAGAUACCGUCGUAGUCUUAACCAUAAACUAUGCCGACUAGGGAUCGGAUGAUGUUAAUUUUUUAAUGACUCAUUCGGCGCCUUACGGGAAAC
Molecule: ribosomal RNA, 548 nt
Filed under: uncultured Glomus
Lineage: Eukaryota; Fungi; Glomeromycota; Glomeromycetes; Glomerales; Glomeraceae
Description: SSU rRNA
Rfam family: Eukaryotic small subunit ribosomal RNA
Source: RNAcentral